UGAUUGGUGCUUGCAUCAUGAUUUACAUUUGAGUGAGUGGCGAACUGGUGAGUAACACGUGGGAAACCUGCCCAGAAGCGGGGGAUAACACCUGGAAACAGAUGCUAAUACCGCAUAACAACUUGGACCGCAUGGUCCGAGCUUGAAAGAUGGCUUCGGCUAUCACUUUUGGAUGGUCCCGCGGCGUAUUAGCUAGAUGGUGGGGUAACGGCUCACCAUGGCAAUGAUACGUAGCCGACCUGAGAGGGUAAUCGGCCACAUUGGGACUGAGACACGGCCCAAACUCCUACGGGAGGCAGCAGUAGGGAAUCUUCCACAAUGGACGAAAGUCUGAUGGAGCAACGCCGCGUGAGUGAAGAAGGGUUUCGGCUCGUAAAACUCUGUUGUUAAAGAAGAACAUAUCUGAGAGUAACUGUUCAGGUAUUGACGGUAUUUAACCAGAAAGCCACGGCUAACUACGUGCCAGCAGCCGCGGUAAUACGUAGGUGGCAAGCGUUGUCCGGAUUUAUUGGGCGUAAAGCGAGCGCAGGCGGUUUUUUAAGUCUGAUGUGAAAGCCUUCGGCUCAACCGAAGAAGUGCAUCGGAAACUGGGAAACUUGAGUGCAGAAGAGGACAGUGGAACUCCAUGUGUAGCGGUGAAAUGCGUAGAUAUAUGGAAGAACACCAGUGGCGAAGGCGGCUGUCUGGUCUGUAACUGACGCUGAGGCUCGAAAGUAUGGGUAGCAAACAGGAUUAGAUACCCUGGUAGUCCAUACCGUAAACGAUGAAUGCUAAGUGUUGGAGGGUUUCCGCCCUUCAGUGCUGCAGCUAACGCAUUAAGCAUUCCGCCUGGGGAGUACGGCCGCAAGGCUGAAACUCAAAGGAAUUGACGGGGGCCCGCACAAGCGGUGGAGCAUGUGGUUUAAUUCGAAGCUACGCGAAGAACCUUACCAGGUCUUGACAUACUAUGCAAAUCUAAGAGAUUAGACGUUCCCUUCGGGGACAUGGAUACAGGUGGUGCAUGGUUGUCGUCAGCUCGUGUCGUGAGAUGUUGGGUUAAGUCCCGCAACGAGCGCAACCCUUAUUAUCAGUUGCCAGCAUUAAGUUGGGCACUCUGGUGAGACUGCCGGUGACAAACCGGAGGAAGGUGGGGAUGACGUCAAAUCAUCAUGCCCCUUAUGACCUGGGCUACACACGUGCUACAAUGGAUGGUACAACGAGUUGCGAACUCGCGAGAGUAAGCUAAUCUCUUAAAGCCAUUCUCAGUUCGGAUUGUAGGCUGCAACUCGCCUACAUGAAGUCGGAAUCGCUAGUAAUCGCGGAUCAGCAUGCCGCGGUGAAUACGUUCCCGGGCCUUGUACACACCGCCCGUCACACCAUGAGAGUUUGUAACACCCAAAGUCGGUGGGG
This 1389-nucleotide ribosomal RNA is filed under the name Lactiplantibacillus plantarum. Its description in RNAcentral is "bacterial SSU rRNA". It matches the Rfam family "Bacterial small subunit ribosomal RNA", at positions 70 to 1435 of the family's 1533-position model. Lineage: Bacteria; Bacillati; Bacillota; Bacilli; Lactobacillales; Lactobacillaceae. The record is from RNAcentral.